GACGGAGGAUGCAAGCGUUAUCCGGAAUGAUUGGGCGUAAAGCGUCCGCAGGUGGCAGUUCAAGUCUGCUGUCAAAGACCGGGGCUUAACUUCGGAAAGGCAGUGGAAACUGAACAGCUAGAGUAUGGUAGGGGCAGAGGGAAUUCCUGGUGUAGCGGUGAAAUGCGUAGAGAUCAGGAAGAACAUCGGUAGCGAAGGCGCUCUGCUGGACCAUAACUGACACUCAGGGACGAAAGCUAGGGGAGCGAAUGGG
RNAcentral lists this ribosomal RNA (253 nucleotides) under uncultured bacterium. Its description in RNAcentral is "partial 16S ribosomal RNA". It matches the Rfam family "Bacterial small subunit ribosomal RNA", at positions 524 to 776 of the family's 1533-position model. The record is from RNAcentral.